This is an RNA transcript of Ahaetulla prasina, 10292 nucleotides long. It is a transcript of the gene named WNK lysine deficient protein kinase 2, with no coding region annotated. The record is from RefSeq and is a predicted model, not a curated record. NCBI's taxonomy places the organism in Eukaryota, Metazoa, Chordata, Lepidosauria, Squamata, Colubridae. The transcript has 27 exons.
GUCGGUCCGUUAAAUGGGGCAUAAUUAGCAAGGAAAGCCCGAUUUCGGAAAGCGCGAAGGGGAGAAGCGCUGGCCAGGAGCGCGUGCCGGCAGCCUGGCCUGCGGAAGGGGUUCAACGGGCCACAGGGAGGCGCGCUAUAUACGCGAGUGGAUUUAUUCCUUCCCCAGAACCUCACCGACGGCGCCCCGCUCUUGCCUGGGACGCGAAGACAGCGGACGCCGCGCGAGGAAGAGGCGCCCCGCAGGACUUGAAAGGCCGGAGCUUAGACGCAGAGGCGCUGGGGAGGCGGGAGCCUGGCCUCGGAGGGUGGAGGAGAAAGGCUCCAUGAUUGGCAAGGACGGCAGAGUUCAGCCGCUGCUUUGCCAGCCUCCGGCCUCCAGCCUCCAGCGCCGGCUCUGAACAUGGCUGGCUCUUCUCCUCCGCCUGCUUCGGCCGAGUUUCCGCACGAGGAUGCACCGUGAUGACUGCCACAAAGCGGGGACAGCAUCUCGGGCGGCGCGAGCAGCACCAUCUUUUCCAGCAGCCGCCGAGGGCUCGGUUGUAAUGGAAACUGGGGGCGAUGCCAGCACAGCCCCUCCGCGGAGGGGAGGCGACGGCGAGUUAGCAACUGCUGGUGUAGCAGAAGCCGCCGGUUUCCAAGCGGCCGCCGCUCGCCCACCGGCUCCUGCGGGGGGAAAGGAUAUGAAUAUGGAUAAUGGGCCAGGCAGCGCUAGUCGAGGAGGCGGCGGCGGCGGCGGCGUGGAUCCUGCUGCAGUGCCGAAAGGAGGCAGAGCCGCGGCCCCCGCCCCCUUUCCCCGUGUGCCUUACGCCAAAGAUCCCAAAACAGCCCACCAGCGCUUUCUGCGGAGGAGUGUGGUGGAUUCCGAUCAGGAGGAACCCCCCUUUGAGCCCGCGGAGUCGCAGCAACAGCAGCAGCAGCCCAAAAAGAUCCUCAUCCUCUCCAAAACCAGGCGGAUAAUCGCCGAGAGGGCGAAAGCGGGGCAGAGGCCCGUGGUGGUGGAAGAGGAGCCCGCCGGGCAGGUGAAGGGGGUGGCCGCCGAGAGGCUCUCGGCAGGUGACCAGGCGAAGGAGGGCGGCGGCAAGGAGGAUGCCGGGAAAAAAGAGGUGCCCGAAUCUUCCAAGGAUCAGGGCAAGUCCAAGAAAGAGGAGGCCGAAGAAGAGGAGGAGGAGGCCGAUAUGAAGGCGGUGGCCACCUCCCCCGAUGGCAGGUUCCUAAAGUUUGAUAUUGAACUUGGCAGAGGAUCUUUCAAAACGGUCUAUAAGGGGCUCGACACGGAAACGUGGGUUGAAGUUGCUUGGUGCGAACUUCAGGAUCGAAAGCUGACAAAAGUGGAACGGCAAAGAUUUAAAGAAGAAGCAGAAAUGUUGAAAGGUCUUCAGCACCCAAAUAUUGUUAGGUUUUAUGAUUUUUGGGAGUCGUGUUUAAAAGGAAAAAAGUGUAUUGUGCUGGUAACAGAACUGAUGACCUCCGGAACUCUGAAAACCUAUUUGAAGAGAUUUAAAGUGAUGAAACCAAAAGUUCUUCGUAGCUGGUGUCGGCAAAUCCUAAAAGGUCUUCUUUUUCUGCACACUCGAACACCACCAAUUAUUCAUAGAGAUUUAAAAUGUGACAAUAUUUUUAUAACUGGGCCAACUGGAUCUGUGAAGAUAGGAGAUUUGGGUCUGGCAACUCUUAAGAGAACUUCAUUUGCCAAAAGUGUCAUAGGUACUCCAGAAUUUAUGGCCCCAGAAAUGUACGAAGAACACUAUGAUGAAUCAGUGGAUGUAUAUGCUUUUGGAAUGUGUAUGUUGGAAAUGGCUACCUCAGAAUAUCCAUAUUCAGAAUGCCAGAAUGCUGCUCAAAUUUAUAGGAAAGUAACCUCUGGUGUCAAACCAGCAAGUUUUGAUAAAGUUACUGAUCCUGAAAUUAAGGAGAUAAUUGGAGAGUGUAUUUGCAAAAAUAAAGAAGAGAGAUAUGAAAUUAAAGAUUUAUUAAGCCAUGCCUUCUUUGCUGAGGAUACUGGGGUGAGAGUGGAACUUGCAGAAGAAGACGAUGGUAGGAAGUCCUCUAUUGCCUUAAGACUCUGGGUAGAAGAUGCUAAGAAAUUGAAAGGGAAGUCCAAAGAUAAUGGAGCCAUUGAGUUUACUUUUGAACUGGAGAAAGAAACUCCUGAUGAUGUUGCACAAGAAAUGGUUGAUGCUGGAUUCUUUCAUGAAAGUGAUGUCAAAAUAAUUGCAAAAUCAAUACGUGACAGAGUAGCCUUAAUACAGUGGAGAAGAGAGAGGAUAUGGCCCAUGUUGCAUUCAGAAGAUCACCGGGAGCCAGAAAGCUUAGAAAAAACGAAGGCCACACAAGCACAACCACUUCAGAUUACACACCCUUCUCAUGCUGGUCAUCAGAUUCCAUCAGAACCAGACGAGCCUGAAGUGGACCAGCAUCUUUCUCAACAAAAUCUGCCCACAAGUAUCACUUCACUUGCAUCUGAUAGCACAUUUGACAGUGGUCAAGGAUCAACUGUGUACUCAGACUCCCAGAGUAGCCAGCAAAGUGUGAUCUACUCAUCGAUUCCUGAUGCAAUACCUCCAGCUGUUCACCGUGUUUAUAGCCCACCUCUCAGUGAGAGCCAGACUUUGCCACAUGGUCUUCAGCAGACAGGGCCCUACCAGCAACCCUCCGUACCUGGACUUCCAGUGGUUCAGGGUCCAACUGCUGUUGUGCCUCCACGGCCACAACUGUAUCCAGAACCAGCAAUUCCAUUUCCUGUUGUCCAUCCCACCUCAGUUGCCCCUGUGCAGAUGAGACAACCUCAGCCUGUAUUAGUCAGCCAGCAGCAAUCCAUCUCAAGCUCAACCCCUUUACAGCAAGUUCUCAGCAACCAGCCUGUGUGCCCAGUACAGCAAUCUGCACCUCACCUGUUGUCCCAGUUUCAAACGCCCAGUUCUCAUAUGGCAGCUACCAGUACACCACUGGCACCUCUGCAGGUCCCCCCUGUGCAAUCAGUUCCACCUACUCAAAUUCCUCAGUUUCCCAUCAUUCCUGCAGUCACCCCUCUGGCAGGACUUGACAGUCAUCCUUCAAACCUGUCCGAUAUACCUGCUGCAAAUAUGCCCCCCAACCCUGCUCCUUCUCAAUAUUUUCCUUCAGCUGUGAUAAUACCUGUGAACUCAGCUCUGCCACUGUCAUCAAAUUCCCCUGCCCUCCCCAUGCAAGCAGUCAACCUUCCUCAUACUAAUGUGGCUUCUUUGGUCUUACCCUGCCAAACAAUUGUGCCAAAUAUGCCGGCUGCUCCAGUACCAUUACUUCCUAUGCCUCUGCCGGGAGUGUCAGCUUUACCAACACAUCAUGCAACAGCCCAGCUCUCCCAACAACAAAUGUACCAGGCUACCCUCCAGCAGAUAAUGCAGAACGAAGCUAUGUCUUCUCCCCUCCACACUCAGAAUAUGCAAGCAGUUUCACAACAGCAGCAACAGAUGCUGUCUUCACUUCCACAGUCACUUCAGCCAAGCAUAAUUCAUCCUUCAGAACAGGCUAUGUCUGCUUCUGGGGCUGAUAAUCAGAUUAUUGGACAUCCUCAGUACGCUGUGGAUAUUGGAACCCAUAUACCUGCAUUGCCAGUGCAGGCUUCUGCCAUUAUAUCACCACCAUUGCAAUUGCAGCCUGAAGCAAUGCUGCCCUGUAUUGCUUCAGAUGGACUUUCACAAAACAAUCUUGGCACAACUAAUUCAGCAAUGUUGGCAGAUCAUGGAUUGCCCCUUCAAUGUUCUGCUUACCCGCAAUCUCAGCCAGACAGUCACCAGCUUCCUGGCCAGCAGGUUCCAACUACAUGUCCAGUUGUCCCAGUAGCUUCAGAACCUCCUCAAGAGAUGGAGCAAGCAGUACUGGAAAAACAGCAGUCACUGUCACAGAGCUGCGAAAGUUAUAUGAGUCCUGAUGUUGCUUCUGGUAAAGAGAUGAGUGACAGUUUUGAAGGAACAAGUGGAGGUGGGAAACAAGAAGGAAAACCUUCAAAGAAACAUAAAAAAUCAGCACGUGCUCGUUCGCGCCAGGAAAAAUCCAACAGGCCCAAGCUUACCAUUUUAAAUGUGUGCAAUACAGGGGAUAAGAUGGUGGAAUGCCAACUAGAAACACACAAUCACAAGAUGGUCACUUUUAAAUUCGAUUUAGAUGGUGACGCUCCAGAGGAAAUUGCUACAUAUAUGGUUGAAAAUGAAUUUAUACUACCAACUGAGAAAGAGAUAUUUAUUGAGCAACUAAAAGAAAUUAUUGACAAAGCAGAAGAUAUGCUUAGUGAAGAUACUGAAGGGGAACGAAGUUCUGAUCAAGGUGUCAGCCCUCAACAAGAUACCUACAAGCUUGAAAUCAGUGAGGAAAAUCGCCAAUCCCAUGCAAGAACGCCCAUCUACCAACAGAAUGUUCUGCAUACUGGGAAACGUUGGUUUAUCAUUUGUCCUGUUGUGGAAAAUCAAGCUGCUGAAGUACCAGAAUUCUCUUCUCAUGCGCCUCAAAGUGCAAAGCAGUCUGACGCCCCAGGUCUGGAGCUGUUGGAUGAUCAGCAACAGAGCUCUGCAGUAACAGAAAAACAAACAAGCAUAGCUUAUCAACAUAUUUCUAAUCAACUUAGCUCCAAUGAGUGUCCCAGGGGAACUCCUCCUCCUUCUCCUUUAACACAAGUUUCUGUUCCAUCUUCAUUAACUUCCCUUUCACAGGUCCAUCCAAUAUUAGCUUCAACCACGCUAGAAAAAAUUGCUGAAAGUACAAGUCACCUAGAAUGCCCUUUGCCACAAUCAGUCUUAGCCAGCCAGUGUGACACCCUUGCCCAUACUACAGCUAUAUCUGAAGAACAUUUUGAUAAGGUCCCUCUAAAUACCUCAUUGCACACAGUACAAAAGAAAGAUGAGAAAAUCAGUUUUCCCAAUAUAGAACACGAACAUAGCACAGCUGGACUGCCAAAACCAUUUCAGUCUGUUCCUGUCAUCUCUGAUGCUCCUCUUUUGGAACUUCAAUCUUCAACCCAACCCCCCAGUUUGUCAGACAAUACUCAGCUUGGCCAGAUAUCACAUUCUUUUGUAGACCAGAUACCUCCUAUGCCUGCUGCCUCUGAACUUCCGGUUUCAGCAACAUCUCAACUUUCAAGUCCUCCUCACCUCUCAACAGCUGUAUCCCAAUUGCAUAUGCCAACCCAGUCCCAGCCGGUUGCAUCCAGUGGCUCUGCCAUGACUGCACCUCAACCACCUUGUAUGGUAGAAUCAGAUGGUGAAGGGCCACCCAGAGUUGAUUUCACUGACAACACAAUAAAGAGUUUGGAUGAGAAACUUCGCAACCUGCUGUAUCAGGAGUAUAUUCCAACAUCAUCUGCUUCAGCAGCAACACCAGACCAAGUGGAUGGUGAAUUUAAUCUUGCACCUUUGCCUGCACUUGUGUUAGAUUUGAAAAUUCCUGGAGUUGGCUUGGAUGCUCACAUGGCUGAAGAUCAACCCUCUCCAAUUCUGGCAAAACAAUCUGAUGUUUCAUGCACCGGGAUCCAGCAUUCAGAAAUAAACAAAGAAGGUCAAGAUGCAAAUGUCAGUUCACCUACUACUAUCUUAACAUCAGGAUACACUCAGGUUGUUUCUUCUUCACUUACAGCAGACCAGAAGGACAUUGCCAAGAAAAACAAAUAUCAAAAAGAUGGUUUUAUAGACUCCAAUGUCAAAGAAGCGGAAACACCAGCAAAAACUAUAGGCAGAUUUUCAGUGAUCAGCACUCAGGAUGAAUUAACUUUAUCAUCUGUGCAUUCCUUGAGGUAUUCUGCACCCCCAGAUGUUUAUCUGGACAAUCAGCCUUCUAGCCCUGAUACAAAGUCACCUCUGCGCCGUGUGCAGACGGCUUCCUCUUUUGAUGUCCUUUAUGGAAAAGAUUCCAGUGAUUCUGGAGAUGAAUCUUUUCCAGGAAAACCAGAUGCAUCUCCAUUGUCACUUCAGAGCAGUAGACUGGGAAACGACAACUUUAAAAAGACUUCAUGUAUUCUGCAAAAGUCAGUAAAGUCAAGUUCACAGGGCCUUAAUUCUCCAAAUGGUCAUGGAUCAAAAAUCCCAACUAUCAACAUAACUUCUUUCCAUUCUCAGUCAUCAUACGUGAGUAGUGACAAUGACUCAGAGUUUGAAGAUGCAGACAUGAAAAAAGAAUUGCAGAACCUGAGAGAAAAACACAUGAAAGAAAUUACUGAGUUGCAGUCCCAACAGAAAAAAGAAAUAGAAGCUUUGUACUUCCGUCUGGGAAAACCACUGCCACCCAAUGUCGGGUUCCUUCAUUCUGCUCCACCAAGUGGCCGCCGAAGAAGAACAAGCAAGCACAAAUUAAAAACUGGGAAAUUGCUAAACCCCGUUGUCCAGCAGCUCAAAACAUCAAGUACAAGCAAUAUAUCAGAGCAUAAAGACCCUUUGGCUAAGGGAAGCACUAGAGCUCAAACAGACUCUACUGAAGCAACAGGACUGACUGUGUCCACAUCAGCCAUACUUGAGAGCUCAGUUCAGACUCAGCAACCUUGCUCUGUCAAGGCUUCAUUAUCGUCUGACAUUUGCUCUGGAGUGGCUUCUGAAGGAGGUGAUGUCCGUGGAAAUUCUGGCCAAGGCUGGACGGUUUUCCACCAAACGUCUGAGAGAGUGACCUAUAAAUCUAGUAGCAAACCUCGUACCAGAUUCCUCAGUGGACCUGUGUCUUUGUCCAUCUGUUUGUAUUUGUUCUUUUGUAUUUUAUCACAGCCCAUCUUUCUUUUGUCAUCUUUUUCAAAACUCAUUUUCAUCGAUUUAUCUAAUAUGCUUGGCAGGAAGCCCCUUCUUGUAGACAAUCACUCCCCCCUCCCUUUUUUUAAAGUAAUCAUCUUAAUUUAAUUUAUUUUGUUUCAUAUGGAAAGCUUUUGAACACUGCUUUUGGCUCAUGCCUGGGUAUCAAAAGCAUGUGUGGAAGAUCUCAUCAAUUUAUUCUAUAGUCUUAUGGUAAAUUCUUAUCUUGGACGUAUCUUUAUGUGAUUUUGCGUUGGAGUAAUUUUUAAUUUGCAAUGUGACAGUUAUAAAUGUCUGCUGUCCUGAUUCCGGUGAUAUCAAAUCGAAACCCAGGCUUCUGUAAACGAAUGGUCUCUUUCACACAUGCUUGGACUAUGAAGACAUGCAUGUAGCAAGCUGAUACAAUUCUAGAAGGUCACUGAAGGGUAGAACAUCUGCACAAGGGCUGUAUUCAAACAAUAUACAGUACUGUUUAUAUCCACUUUGUUGUUGUUGUUAUUGUUGUUAUUAUUAUGUUAUUUUUCCUGUCCCUUGCAUGUAGAAAUGCUGAGAAAUGCUCCUGCUAGCUCUUUAACAACAUCUUUUCUAGGCAGCAUUUCCCCCCACAUUGUCUACUUUUGGCUUACUUUAAAUGAAUUUUCUUAAAUGUGAUUGUUUGGUUAUCACAAAGUACAAUAUGGCUUUUAUUAGACAUUCAUCUAGCUGGAGCACUUUACUCAGUUAAUUUUUUAUUAUGACCUUAUGUGACCUCAGAGAUGAAGUCAACAAGCAGUUCAUCAAAGCACAGAAUAAAUUAAAAUUCCCAAUGCCACUCUCAGAAUAGUCUAUUGAUAUCAUGUCCAGAUGCAACUAAAACUAGACUGUUCUUAAUUGUAUGAUUAUACGAAUUGGCUAUUCAACCAGUUGUCACAAAUAUUUAUUUUUAAGUUUGUUUUUGUAAAACAAAUGCUUAUUAUAAGGCAAAAUACUUUGGGAUAUUUUGGUACAAUAAGGCUAUAUUGUACUAAUGAGAAAAAUCUAGGCCAUAGUUACAAAUAAGAUAAAAUAGUGCCAAUAUAUAGAGAUAUUUAUAUUUAGUUAACAUUCAGCAAAUUCAGUAUUCAUUUUCAUCAAACUUUUAUCAUUGGAACUAUACAUCUCUAUCAUUAUUACAAGGGUACAAAUCAAAGGCACAAAGCUACUUAAAAUUCAUCCUUCUUGCUCUCCAUUUUCAAUAAAAUAAUGUCAACAUUUUUAGACUUAACAACGAAAGGGCUUUUAAGUAUUCAUAAACAUCUUUGUAUAUGAAAACCAUAAUAUUAAAAUUCAGAUAUAAUUUCAAGCUAAAGAAAUCUAAUAUUCUUGGAUUAUUUGCAAUAUAAAACUUAUUUGGUAGUUCUGUGUGGUACUCCAUGCAUGAUAUGUAUGCAGAAGAUCCAAGUUCAGUGUCUGGCAAUUGCAAGGAGAACUGGAAAAGUUCUUCUCUAGAACCUGGGACAAUUAGUACUACUUGAUAUUAAAACUGGUGGGCAUUUUUUCACCAUCUAUCAUACUGGUUUACAGGAGCCAAUGAUCUGACUCAAUAUAAGGCUCUUUCCAGUAUAAAUAUGUUCAGAAUGAUACAUUUAGUUGUUUUUGACAGCCAAGCUCUACAGAGCAAUUAUUAAUGUUAUGAUACCAAUGUUGGUAAUUGCAUUGGGUUUAUAGACCAAUAUGGUCAAAGAUAGGUGAGGAACUGUUCUACAGGUAGUCCUCAACUUACAACAAUUCAUUUAGUGACUGUUAGAAAUUAUAACAGCACUGAAAAAAGUGAUUUAUGACCAUUUUCACACUAAUGACCAGUGCAGCAUCCCCAUGGGCACGUGAUCAAAAUUCAGAUGCUUGGCAACCAACUCAUAUUUAUGAUGGUUGCAGUGUCCUGGAGUCAUGUGACUACCUUUUGUGACCUUCUAAUGAGCAAGUCAAUGGAGAGCCAGAUUCACUUCACAACCAUGUUACUAAUGUAACAAUUAUGGCAAGAAAGAUUGUAAAAUGGGACAAAACUCACUUAAUAACAGACAUUUUGGGCUCAAUUAUGAUUAUAAGUUGAGGACUAUGUGUAUUCUGUUUCUCUUAUAAGUAUUCAUUCCAGUUCUUAGUAAGUAUCUCACAGAUUAUAGGAAAAUACUCAAAAGUUAACUUUUAUCCCUAAGCUGUGAUAUUAUUAAUGGCUUUAUGUGGUACAAAAUGAAUCACUGAAUUUUAUGGGAUGAGAUACCAAUUGACUUCUGGUGAACCAGCAAAGUCAUAACAAUGUUCUCCUUAUACUUUAUGGGCACAUGUAUGGGCACAGGGAAUAUAAUUCUGUAGAUUACUUUAGCAAGUUGAAACCAAAGUUACACAUAAGAAAUCUCUUAAAAUCUGGAAAAAUAUUUCUAGAAAAAAAUAAUUUAUAGUAGUUUGAGUAGAAGCUGUUUUCUUUUUUAAAAGAUUUAAAUCUGCACAUAAUGCUUGGAAACAUUGAUCGUAAUUAUAAACUUAAAAUCUAAUUAUAUGACCAUCUUGGCUAUGUGUUCUCUUAAAACUUAAUUGUUGUAUAGUACUAACUUUAAAUACAGUGCAAAGUACAAAGGUAACAGGUCAUGUUGAUGGUUAUUUAUUUAAUCAAUAAGAUGGUUAAGGAUUUACUGUCUUGUAUAUAAACAAAAAUGCAUUUGCAUAUGGUUACUGCAAGGAAAUUGUCAGAAGAAGCCACUGAAAAAUUAAUACAUAGGAAAAUAUGUUAAAUAUAGGCAUGGUCUCAUCACUGACUUUGACCUCUCUCCAAAAUCAAAAAUCAAAGAAUUCAGUGAUAUUUAUAGGAAGGAAGGAAGGAAUAGAUGUAUAUAUAUAUAUAUCAACUGAUCUUCUUUUGAGAUAUUUAUUACGGAGAGAAAGGAAUUAUAUCUAAUCAUAUGUUCACUAUACAAUGCUGUUUUUUACCACAUUUUGAUUCCCACAUGAAGUAUAAUAAUGAAUGUAAAAAAUUAUUUCUUUGGAGCUAUGUCCAAUUCAUGUGUCAUAUCAGCAGACAUCAAUUAAUCUGUAGUCAUAUUUUAUUGUUCUGGCACUAAAACAAGUAUCUUGUUUACACACACACAUACAUGCAUUACUAUCAAAGUUUGAAAUGAUUUGGGUUCUAUUUGCAUGCAAAGAUGGGUAAUCUUUGCACCAUAUCAGAAACCACUUGAUUAAUCAUGGUGGACAGCAAUACCAAUACGUACCUAAUAAUGAAUAACCCCCUAAGACACCAUCACAAUAUUACAAAGGCAAAGAAGGUAGGUUAUAUAAAUAAAACAGAAAAAGAAAAAUUUAAACCAGCUAGAGCUAGACCAAUUAAUAACCUUCCUGCUGACUUUCUGUCAGAAUAAAUAGAUCUCCUUAUUUUGUCUUUUUAGCCUGUUGUUAACACUGCAGUGGAUUUAACUGAAUAUUCUUAACCAAGCAGUAGGAUUUUUCUACUCUGCUCAUCAAAUAAAUAACAAAGAAUGAUAGGAAAUGCUAUCUCCUCUACAGUAGAGCUGGUCCACCCUGAAACGACUAUGUCUAGGCA